UCGAGAAUUUUUCUCAAUGGGCGCAAGCCUGAAGGAGCGACGCCGCGUGGGGGAUGAAGGGUUUCGAUCCGUAAACCCCUGUCAUUUGUGAACAAUGGUUAUUAUUUAAAAGAUGAUGACUUGAUAGUAAUGAAAGAGGAAGGGACGGCUAACUCUGUGCCAGCAGCCGCGGUAAUACAGAGGUCCCGAGCGUUGUUCGGAUUCACUGGGCGUAAAGGGUGCGUAGGUGGCAUGUUAAGUUUGAUGUGAAAGCUCAGGGCUUAACCCUGAAAUGGCAUUGAAUACUAGCGUGCUGGAGGUUUGGAGGGGGGACUGGAAUUCUCGGUGUAGCAGUGAAGUGCGUAGAUAUCGAGAGGAACACCAGUGGCGAAGGCGAGUCCCUGGACAACACCUGACACUGAGGCACGAAAGCCGGGGGAGCAAACAGGAUUAGAUACCCUGGUAGUCCCGGCCCUAAACGGUGCGCAUUUGCUGUAGGAGGAAUCGACCCCUUCUGUGGACG
This 502-nucleotide ribosomal RNA is filed under the name uncultured Verrucomicrobiota bacterium. RNAcentral's name for it is "bacterial SSU rRNA". It matches the Rfam family "Bacterial small subunit ribosomal RNA", at positions 355 to 849 of the family's 1533-position model. Lineage: Bacteria; Pseudomonadati; Verrucomicrobiota. The record is from RNAcentral.